GAAGGAAGAAAAAGACGACGAAGAUCAAACCGCAAUGAGCAAAAUGCUUUUCUACGGUUGCCGCUGGCAUUUGUUGUGCGAGGGCGGUAAAGCUGGCAACGCUAGAACAAAGCGAAAUGUUACCCUUACCGCAUCCUCGUGAAAAGAAAACCCCCUAGGAAAAUAAUGAUGAUACUUGCGUUGUGCUGGAGAAAGAAAUAGCCGAAUAUUCUUGCAACGCACAUAUAAUACAAUGCUCAUGCUAAGGAGAGGAUUGCUGAUUGAAACGGGUUCAUUAGUUUUGGCCAGCCCUCGGAAACAAGCGUAAGGAGUGGCAACCAAACUAUUCGAAGUGAGUGAGCUAUCACUGACGUCGCGCACGAUGAUUCAGACGCAACAGAGUGAUCGAGCAGUGCAAAGCUAUCGAGCCGACGAUUGGUGGGUGCCGUGAUCGGUCGACAUAAAUACGAAAUGCCCAGAUUGGACUCGCCGCACGAAACAGUAAUUACGGCAGCGAAUUGUGACGUUAUCUUACACGGCUAGAUGGAAAGCACAAAGGGAAAAAUAUG
Molecule: long non-coding RNA, 548 nt
Organism: Varroa destructor (honeybee mite)
Lineage: Eukaryota; Metazoa; Arthropoda; Arachnida; Mesostigmata; Varroidae
Source: RefSeq, a predicted model, not a curated record